GACGAACGCUGGCGGCGUGCUUAACACAUGCAAGUCGAACGAUGAAGGGGAGCUUGCUCCCUGGAUUAGUGGCGAACGGGUGAGUAACACGUGAGCAACCUGCCCCUAACUCUGGGAUAACGCUUCGAAAGGAGUGCUAAUACCGGAUAUGAGCCUGGAAGACAUCUUCUGGGUUGGAAAGUUUUUCGGUUAGGGAUGGGCUCGCGGCCUAUCAGCUUGUUGGUGAGGUAAAGGCUCACCAAGGCGACGACGGGUAUCCGGCCUGAGAGGGCGACCGGACACACUGGGACUGAGACACGGCCCAGACUCCUACGGGAGGCAGCAGUGGGGAAUAUUGCGCAAUGGGCGAAAGCCUGACGCAGCGACGCCGCGUGAGGGAUGAAGGUCUUCGGAUUGUAAACCUCUUUCAGCAGGGACGAAGCGAAAGUGACGGUACCUGAAGAAGAAGCACCGGCUAACUACGUG
RNAcentral lists this ribosomal RNA (465 nucleotides) under uncultured bacterium. RNAcentral describes it as "bacterial SSU rRNA". It matches the Rfam family "Bacterial small subunit ribosomal RNA", at positions 28 to 507 of the family's 1533-position model. The record is from RNAcentral.